This 403-nucleotide ribosomal RNA is filed under the name bacterium. Its description in RNAcentral is "partial 16S ribosomal RNA". It matches the Rfam family "Bacterial small subunit ribosomal RNA", at positions 355 to 776 of the family's 1533-position model. The record is from RNAcentral.
UGGGGAAUAUUGCACAAUGGGGGAAACCCUGAUGCAGCGACGCCGCGUGAACGAAGAAGGUAUUCGUAUCGUAAAGUUCUGUCCUAUGGGAAGAUAAUGACAGUACCAUAGAAGAAAGCUCCGGCUAAAUACGUGCCAGCAGCCGCGGUAAUACGUAUGGAGCGAGCGUUGUCCGGAAUUAUUGGGCGUAAAGGGUACGCAGGCGGUUUAAUAAGUCGAAUGUUAAAGAUCGGGGCUCAACCCCGUAAAGCAUUGGAAACUGAUAAACUUGAGUAGGGGAGAGGAAAGGGGAAUUCCAAGUGUAGUGGUGAAAUACGUAGAUAUUAGGAGGAAUACCAGUAGCGAAGGCGACUUUCUGGACACAAACUGACGCUGAGGUACGAAAGCGUGGGGAGCAAACAGG